This 413-nucleotide long non-coding RNA is filed under the name Fukomys damarensis (Damara mole-rat). RNAcentral's name for it is "lncRNA (ENSFDAG00000022078.1)". Lineage: Eukaryota; Metazoa; Chordata; Mammalia; Rodentia; Bathyergidae. The record is from RNAcentral.
GGCCCAAUCAUCUCCUCGGGGUGUGGUCCCCUCACAUGGCCACAAGGCAAGUCACAUGCCAACAUGAACACGGAAGGGAGCAGGCAGACCACAGCGAUGAUGAACAGGCACUUGAAAGACGCCAGCUGUGGGCUGGGGAUGUCGCUCACGGCACCAAACAAACAAACAAACGGAAGCCCCGCAUCCGGCUUUCCCACACCACACUUUGAUGGUGUUACCCUCAUAUGCGGUACUCUAGAGGACGUCCUGUGUCACAGCAAACCCACUACACUGCCAGACCUUAGAGAAGAAUCGAAAAUGCAGGUGCAGCAAUCUCAGUGACCAAGGUUACCCAGGCAGCAGCGCGCCAUACUAAUAAUGUCUAGCAGCUCACAACAACCACUCUGAGCACCUCUUGUACUUGCAGAGGCCAA